This is a long non-coding RNA of Aedes albopictus (Asian tiger mosquito), 548 nucleotides long. RefSeq lists it as uncharacterized. NCBI's taxonomy places the organism in Eukaryota, Metazoa, Arthropoda, Insecta, Diptera, Culicidae. The record is from RefSeq and is a predicted model, not a curated record. The transcript is spliced from 3 exons.
UCUGGACCGGUCUAAAGCAUGUACCGGUCUAGCCGCAACAUAACCACCGCAGCAUGACAGCUUGCGUGUGGUGGUAGUAGUAGUGUGAUAGGCAAUGAGCGAGAAGGUAAAUAAAAACCAUAUGAUGAUGAUGGGAAUGACGAUGAUUAUGACGGUAGGCAGAUAUUUCGCCAUUGCAGUAAAUAGAUAAGGCAAAUUAGUUGAGUUUUGCAAAGGCGCGUUAUUUUAUUGAAAUUGUAGUGAAUUCGGGGCGAGAACACUUCCAAAAAUCGGUUGUAAUUAUUAGCAAUACGCUGUGGCCAAUCCGAUCCGUGACAGAUACCUGGGAAUCACCGGUAAUAGGAAUAGGAAAGGUGUCCACAUUCCGGCGACAUUCGCUAUUCACACUCAAUCAAGUUAGGGUAACUGCACCCAUUAUCAUCCCAAGAUAGAAUUGGAAACCACUUCUUGUGAGUAUUUGUACUAGAAUAGAUUAAGAAUGUUAAUUAAAUGAUUAAAUAAAUUGCAGUUUUAAGCGUUGCUACAAAAUCUGAGCCGCUCUAAAAAUU